This 505-nucleotide ribosomal RNA is filed under the name uncultured bacterium. RNAcentral's name for it is "partial 16S ribosomal RNA". It matches the Rfam family "Bacterial small subunit ribosomal RNA", at positions 28 to 507 of the family's 1533-position model. The record is from RNAcentral.
GACGAACGCUGGCGGCGUGCCUAAUACAUGCAAGUAGAACGCACAGUUUAUACCGUAGCUUGCUACACCAUAAACUGUGAGUUGCGAACGGGUGAGUAACGCGUAGGUAACCUGCCUGGUAGCGGGGGAUAGCUAUUGGAAACGAUAGCUAAUACCGCAUAAUAUUGAUUAUUGCAUGAUAAUUGAUUGAAAGAUGCUAUUGCAUCACUACCAGAUGGACCUGCGUUGUAUUAGCUAGUAGGUGAGGUAACGGCUCACCUAGGCGACGAUACAUAGCCGACCUGAGAGGGUGAGCGGCCACACUGGGACUGAGACACGGCCCAGACUCCUACGGGAGGCAGCAGUAGGGAAUCUUCGGCAAUGGACGAAAGUCUGACCGAGCAACGCCGCGUGAGUGAAGAAGGUUGUCGGAUCGUAAAGCUCUGUUGUAAGAGAAGAACGGGUGUGAGAGUGGAAAGUUCACACUGUGACGGUAUCUUACCAGAAAGGGACGGCUAACUACGUG